CUUCAGAAGAUCACCUCGAUGACUCUUGGGUGACUGUAUUUGGGUUUCCUCAAGCAUCUGCUUCCUACAUAUUACUACAAUUUGCACAGUAUGGGAAUAUCUUAAAACAUGUGAUGUCUAAUACAGGAAAUUGGAUGCAUAUUCGUUAUCAAUCUAAACUGCAGGCUCGGAAAGCCUUAAGCAAAGAUGGGAGGAUUUUUGGAGAAUCCAUCAUGAUUGGUGUAAAACCAUGUAUUGACAAAAGUGUUAUGGAAAGCAGUGACAGAUGUGCUUUAUCAUCUCCAUCUUUAGCCUUUACACCACCAAUCAAAACUCUAGGUACACCAACACAACCUGGAAGUACUCCUAGGAUUUCUACCAUGAGACCUCUUGCUACAGCAUACAAAGCCUCUACUAGUGAUUAUCAGGUUAUUUCUGACAGACAAACGCCAAAAAAAGAUGAAAGUCUUGUAUCCAAAGCAAUGGAGUACAUGUUUGGCUGGUAGUAGAACACCAAGAAGGAGGUUGCUACACUAAAACAGAGUUAGCAGAGUGCUGCUGGUUCCUUCGGUUAGUUAUAUAACUGUUCCUGCAGUAUUGGAUAGCUAUCUCAUACUUCUUUUAGAAAGAAGCCUUUUUCAUUAAGGAUACAACCUAUUUGUAGCUCGCACUUUAAAAGAUGCUUGAGAUACAUUUUAAAGAAAACUAAAAAUCCCUGUAAAUAGGAUUUUGUGCUUUCUGUAACAGUGCAUGCUUCAGCACAGAAAACUCAGCAUUGAUUAUUGUAAAUUAAAUAACUGAAAUUGUGGUGAGACGUCAUAGUCUUCAUGAGAACGUGGGGGUGAAUUUCAUGAAGGGGAACUAUAGUUAUUUCUACCGACACAAAUAUUAUAAUUAGCAAUUUGAAUUAUGGUCUUUUAAUUUAGAUAGUAUUUAAUAUUUUAAUUAUCCUUGUUUGUAUAUGUCCUGUCACAGAGUGUCCUCUUGGUGUAUUCUAAAACGAGCAUUCUUUUAAAAAACCUAAAGUUUCUUGAUAAUAAACAUUGUCAAUG
RNAcentral lists this long non-coding RNA (1031 nucleotides) under Homo sapiens (human). Its description in RNAcentral is "long non-coding RNA NONHSAT183244.1". Lineage: Eukaryota; Metazoa; Chordata; Mammalia; Primates; Hominidae. The record is from RNAcentral.